GACGAACGCUGGCGGCGUGCUUAACACAUGCAAGUCGUGCGGUAAGGCCCUUUCGGGGGUACCCGAGCGGCGAACGGGUGAGUAACACGUGAGCAACCUGCCCUUCACUUUGGGAUAACUGCCGGAAACGGUGGCUAAUACCGGAUAUGACUUCCUCACGCAUGUGGGGUGGUGGAAAGCCUUCGGGUGGUGGGGGAUGGGCUCGCGGUCUAUCAGCUUGUUGGUGGGGUGAUGGCCUACCAAGGCUUCGACGGGUAGCCGGCCUGAGAGGGUGACCGGCCACACUGGGACUGAGACACGACCCAGCCUCCUACGGGAGGCAGCGGUGGAGAAUAUUAGACAGUGGGCGAAAGCCUGGUCCAGCAACGCCGCGUGGGGGAUGACGGCCUUCGGGUUGUAAACCUCUUUCGCCUGCGACGAAGCGAGAGUGACGGUAGCAGGUAAAGAAGCACCGGCCAACUACGUG
RNAcentral lists this ribosomal RNA (466 nucleotides) under uncultured bacterium. Its description in RNAcentral is "partial 16S ribosomal RNA". It matches the Rfam family "Bacterial small subunit ribosomal RNA", at positions 28 to 507 of the family's 1533-position model. The record is from RNAcentral.